RNAcentral lists this transfer RNA (77 nucleotides) under Pseudomonas aeruginosa. Its description in RNAcentral is "tRNA-Gly". It matches the Rfam family "tRNA". From Rfam's summary of the family: Transfer RNA (tRNA) molecules are approximately 80 nucleotides in length. Lineage: Bacteria; Pseudomonadati; Pseudomonadota; Gammaproteobacteria; Pseudomonadales; Pseudomonadaceae. The record is from RNAcentral. RNAcentral also lists the same sequence under 1 other name.
GCGGGAAUAGCUCAGUUGGUAGAGCACGACCUUGCCAAGGUCGGGGUCGCGAGUUCGAGGUCUCGUUUCCCGCUCCA